UCUUAAAAUAAAGUGGUGAUCCUAACUGACCUAAGUUGGGGAAGUUUUACCAGGAUUAAGUGUUAGGAAUUGUGUGAAACUGAGUUUAAAUGUAUUUGGCUAAGGUGUAUGUAAACUUCCGACUUCAACUGUAACUACUGUAGGAUAGAGACCACAUAACUACUGGAGCUACGGUAGAGACCACGUAACUGCUGGAGCUACGGUAGAGACCACAUAACUACUGGAGCUACGGUAGAGACCACGUAACUACUGGAGCUACGGUAGAGACCAUGUAACUGCUGGAGCUACGGUAGAGACCACAUAACUACUGGAGCUACGGUAGAGACCACGUAACUACUGAAGCUACGGUAGAGAACUACUGGAGCUACGGUAGAGACCACGUAACUACUGGAGCUACGGUAGAGACCACGUAACUACUGGAGCUACGGUAGAGACCACGUAACUGCUGGAGCUACGGUAGAGACCACGUAACUGCUGGAGCUACGGUAGAGACCACGUAACUACUGGAGCUGCGGUAGAGACCACGUAACUACUGGAGCUACGGUAGAGACCACGUAACUACUGGAGCUACGGUAGAGACCACGUAACUACUGGAGCUACGGUAGAGACCACGUAACUACUGGAGCUACGGUAGAGACCACGUAACUACUGGAGCUUCGGUAGAGACCACGUAACUACAGGAGCUACGGUAGAGACCACGUAACUACUGGAGCUACGGUAGAGACCACGUAACUACUGGAGCUACGAUAGAGACCACGUAACUACUGGAGCUACGGCAGAGACCACGUACAGAGGAUAGUGGGAAUGAAAACAGUACUUCUGGGUUUACAUGGUGGGACAGAUGACGUGAUGACAUGGGGAGAUUGACAUGCAUUAUUCACAAGAAAAUGUUCUGUCGUGUUCAAGGGACCUACACGGUGUGGGUUUUCGAGAUGUGCUGUCCUGCUACUUAUCAGUUGGUAUAUGCUGUAUAACUGGAAUGUAUCUAAUGGGGUGUGUAGGUGUUGGGUGUGUUCUCUGUGGACGGGGGCAAAGCCAAAGCCUCUCAGGAGGAUGCUGAGGAGACCAACUCGGUGGAGUCAGUGGGGUUCUGCAAUGUGUUGCCUCUGAUAGCGGUGGCGUAUCUGCAUGGGACCCUGGCUAUCUAUGACCUCUCCUCACAGGUCCUCAGACACAAGUGUCAGCACCAGGCUGGCAUUGUUAAACUGCAGUGGGAGGAGUCAUCCUCUGUGGUGUCCACCUGUAGUCUGGACGGGGCAGUGAGGCUGUGGGAUGCCCGCUCGGGGAACCAUGGUGUCAGAGUACCGUGGCCACCAGGCGGAGAUCCUCGACUUCACACUUAACAGAGAAGCCUCUAUGGCGGUCACUGCCUCUGGAGACCACCAGGCCAAAGUCUUCUGCCUCCAACGACCAGACCGUUAAUAAGAGGAGCAGAGGGAGAAAGAGCGAGAGAAAUGUGGAUGGACUCAACCCCGAUGGCGCUUUGUCGACAAUGCAC
Molecule: long non-coding RNA, 1498 nt
Organism: Oncorhynchus tshawytscha (Chinook salmon)
Lineage: Eukaryota; Metazoa; Chordata; Actinopteri; Salmoniformes; Salmonidae
Exons: 4
Source: RefSeq, a predicted model, not a curated record